This 468-nucleotide ribosomal RNA is filed under the name uncultured bacterium. RNAcentral's name for it is "partial 16S ribosomal RNA". It matches the Rfam family "Bacterial small subunit ribosomal RNA", at positions 28 to 507 of the family's 1533-position model. The record is from RNAcentral.
GACGAACGCUGGCGGCGUGCUUAACACAUGCAAGUCGAACGGAAAGGCCCUGCUUUUGUGGGGUGCUCGAGUGGCGAACGGGUGAGUAACACGUGAGUAACCUGCCCUUGACUUUGGGAUAACUUCAGGAAACUGGGGCUAAUACCGGAUAGGAGCUCCUGUUGCAUGGUGGGGGUUGGAAAGUUUCGGCGGUUGGGGAUGGACUCGCGGCUUAUCAGCUUGUUGGUGGGGUAGUGGCUUACCAAGGCUUUGACGGGUAGCCGGCAUGAGAGGGUGACCGGCGACAUUGGGACUGAGAUACGGCCCAGACUCGUACGGGAGGCAGCAGGGGGGAAUAUUGCACAAUGGGCGGAAGCCUGAGGAAGAGACGCCGCGUGCGGGAUGACGGCCUUCGGGUUGUAAACCGCUUUAGCCUGUGACGAAGCGGGAGUGACGGUAAUGGGUAAAGAAGCACCGGCUAACUACGUG